UCGACUUGCGCCGGAAGGAAGCCGGGGCUUGGGGCAUCCGCCCGGCGAGCCUUGGGGCAUCCGCCCGCCCGGCCAUGCUUCUGCGGCCGCUGCGGAGCUGGGCCUGCCGGGUACUGCGCUGUGACGGCCCCGGGAACCCCGCCUACGCCCCGGGGUCGCGGGCGGCGCAGCGCUGGGCCUGGCCUCUGGAUAAAGAUAGAGAAAAUGAAAAAAAGAAAAAAUCAGUGAUCUGUGUCGAAGGCAACAUUGCAAGUGGGAAGACGACAUGCCUGGAGUUCUUCUCCAACACCAGAGACGUUGAAGUGUUACCGGAGCCUGUGCCCAAGUGGAGGAAUGUCCGAGGCCACAAUCCCCUGGGUCUGAUGUACCGUGACGCCUCUCGAUGGGGCCUCACGCUGCAGACGUACGUGCAGCUCACCAUGCUGGACCUGCACACUCGUGCGCAGACGUUACCUGUACGGUUGAUGGAGCGGUCAAUUCACAGCGCAAGAUACGUUUUUGUAGAAAACUUGUAUAGAAGUGGGAAGAUGCCUGAAGUGGACUACGUGGUUCUGUCCGAAUGGUUCGACUGGAUAGUGAGGAACAUCGACUUGUCCAUCGACUUGAUAGUUUAUCUCCAGACCACUCCUGAGACCUGUUACCAGAGGUUAAAGAUGAGGUGCAGGGAAGAGGAGAAGGUCAUUCCACUGGUAAGAGCCCCUUUCACCAGUGGAGCAUGCUCCGUCCUAGCCUGGCCGCAGCUCCUGGGUUCUUUGCGCUGCUGUGGAGGGAGAGAAACAGGAACUGUGGGUCGGAGGGUGAAUGCUGCCUUCCUCUGUGGCUGGAGACCACGUAUGAUGUCCAGGGCUGCUUCACUUCCUGUGGUUCUGGGCUCAGUGGUGGGCACCCGCUGUGCUCAGAGGCGGCCCUUCUCCCGGAUGUUGUUGCCCAGGCGUCCCCAGGGCUUGACCUGUCCACCUCCUGAAGAUUGCUGGCCUUUGUGCUGGGACCUGCCUGCUUGCUCGCUGCUGCAUCCCCAUUGCUCUGCCUAGCGCCUGACUGGGAGGUGGUUCUCACUCAUGUUUGCCCAAGGCCACAUCAGCUCUCGUCGGGACUGUUGUAACAGACUCUCCUUGUCCUGGUCCCUCACUGUCCACAACCCUGUCUGAUAUCCAGCCUCCACACUGCUGCUUGGGCGAUGUUUCCAAUACGGAAACUCAGGCCCCAUGCCCAGCUCCUUCAGUGCCUCCCCUCACCGCCGUCUAGGAUCAGGUCGGCACUGGUAACGUGCCGUCUGCGAUCUUGCAUGACUGGCUUUGUCCCCCUCCACUGCCUGCCUCUCGUGUUCUGGCUAUGAAGAACUAGUUGUGGCUCCCCAUACUCUCUCACUCUUUUUCUCUUUCUCUUUCUCACUCGCUCGUGCUCUCUCCCCACCCUCUUUUCACCAUGAAAUUACACAAAUGUGCCUUUUUGUCAUGGUUUCUUUUGCCUUCCAAAUUCAGCUCACACGUCACCUCCUCCAGGAAGCCUCCCCUGACCUUCCCUCUACUGUGCCCCCUCCCCCGCAGCCUCUGUUCUUAUUUUGGUCACAACCAUUAGGACAAAUAUACUGGAACUAUUUGUUUAUGUGUUUGCUACCCAGCCCUUGCAAAACCACCAUUGCCUUUUUAAGAUUAGAACUUAUUCCCUCUGCAUCCCCAGCAUGUGUCCCAGGGCUGGGCAUGCAGGAGUUGCUCUGUUCAUCCUGAACUGAGUGCCCAAGUGAAUGCUGCUGGAGAUACAUGGACAGAGGCUGGGCGAGCAUUUACUUGACUCUCACGGGGUCCGAGCUCAGGAUGGGCUGCAUGGGGGUCCUAGAAAUCCAGUCCAGCUUCAUGGGGCUCUGGAAGUCCUGUCCAGCUCCCAAGGCUGCCCAGCUUUAUUUUCCCCAGGCUGCCCAGCCUUGUUUUCCCCAGGCACCAGCAAGGUAGAUUCCAGCCACAAAGGCCCUGGCCUCGCUCUGGGCAGCUGCUUUGAAAUCUGGAGAUGACAUUGAUGAGAGGAAGGGCAUGAGGAGUGGGGUUGGACCAUGCUGGGAUGGAGCGCGGCAGCUCUGUGCAGUGACCCAGAUGUUCCCAAGACACCAGUCUGGAGUCCUUCCAACUCGCUAUCCAGGACAUUGUCCUCAUGGUUUUGACAAGGCCUGUAGGUCAAGUCUGUUGUUGCCAAGGGAGGAGUCAGUGGUGGGUAAAGGGGCGGCAGUGCGCUUUGCCUGAGAGCUGCGAGGAUGGGAGUAAAUUGCCGCUUGCACUGGAGGUGUUUGUGGGCCAGAUGAGACGGGAUGGCACUGUCCCUGCCCUGCGCGUGGGAGGUGUGCCUUCCCCUCCUGCCGGGGACAGAGACAUGGUGGCUGGGGGCGUAUCCGGGCCCCUCUUCCCCGGGUUUCACCUGUUUUGGCUUCUGAGGUUGGUCCUUAUGGUUUCAAGGCUCCACGCACGCAUUGCUUGGUGGGGCGCAAGUGUCUGAGUGGGGAUCCUGGGCAGGUAAGGGCCACGGCCCUCUUGGUUGGGAGGACAGAGGGGAGGAGUCAGAGGCUGCCCAGGACCCCCCGAAGGAGUGGUGGCCCUGCUGAUGGAGAAGUGGCAGAUGAGAGGAGCCUGCUGGGAGGGUGCAUGCCAAGUGCCAGUGAUAGAGUGCGCUGGAGGGAUGGGCCGGUGGCCUGAGUGGCGCUUCUGACUGUUGCACUGCCCUGGCGGGUCGGCGGGGUGUUUGGCUGUGUUUAUCGUUGUCUGCCUGAGCUGGCUUGGCUGUCGCAGGCUCCUUUGUCCAAGCCGCUGCCCCGUGGUCCACCUGCCUGCGAGCCUUGGGGAGAGGCCCGCUCCCCUCCCGACUCCCGACAGCCCGCACAUCUUUUCCUCGGCAGGACUACCUGGCUGCUAUUCACUGCCUGUACGAGGAGUGGCUCAUCAAAGGGAGUCUUUUUCCCGUGGCUGCCCCUGUUCUGGUGAUUGAGGCGGACCACAACAUGCAGAAAAUGUUAGAACUCCUUGAACAAAACCGUCACCGAAUACUAACUCCAGAGAAUCGGAAGCUUGGUCCAUAAGAUGGGAAAGAUCCUGCCAGAAAAAUGCCUGCUGCUGCCAAGCUGGCUAUGAGGAGCAAUUUGGGAAAAACCCGCUCUCGGGAGGGCUUUCUGUCUGGCCACAUUUGUCUUCCUAAUGGUCUUCUUUCCUCGCCAGUGUCUUUAUCCUGGGUUUCUGGCCUCCUGGGUAGAUGGCAUAAUGGGACCCAUGGGUUUGGCCUGCCCUUUGGAGCUCGUAGCCUUGCGUUUCCCGGACGCCUCUCCUGGUGGUUUCUCACCACUGGAUCCCUCUAAGUAAGGGCAGAGCCCCCUGACUUAGGCUGGACCCAUGGUCUCUAGUCCUUCAGACCCCCUGGGAGGGCGAGGUGGUCGGCUUACAUCCCAGAGGAGGAAGUUGAAGCUCAGCGAGGCUAAGGAACUCCCUAGGGUCACUUAGCCAGUGACAGUGGAGUCAGCACCAUUCAGACUUGGUGACUCCCAGAUGACCUCUCGCCCCAGGCUGCCCCCUCCUGAGAGCCCUGCCUGCCCUGCCGGAGACCCUCACGCAUGCGUGCGGAGGGCCAGCUGUGCAUGGAGCUGGCAUCGUCUCUCAAUCUGAGCAGUUCCCAAGGACAGUUAGCAUUUCUAGGCUUUCACAAAAUUGUGCCGUGUUUGGCUGGAGCCUGGUGUUCAGCAGUUCUCUAGCGGGAGGCCAGGGUGGCACCUACCACCUUGUCAUUGGGACUUCCUGAUCCUUGGCUCCUGAAUGGUGCUUGGUCUCCUUGGUGACAACAUUCCUGCUUGAGCUGCUGCUGAUUUCCUGUCGGCAGUGGCUUGUGGCCCCAGGCUGGUGUGUGCGGUGCUGCCCUGGGGCAGGAGGCCACCACCUGGCUUCUGAGGCUCUGACUCCACAGUGGCCUCGUGUGAGGAGCUUUGGCCUGGAAUUCUUGGGAGUGUGUGGCCCAGGGCGGAGACACAAGUGGCCUUAAAUCUUUUUUGAAAUGUUCUUCUAUCCACGGGGACCCCUUGGGCCGUAGAGCAGGAAACUUGCGUUAAGUUCAGAGACUGUCCUAGCUCCGCUCGGCUGUAGCAGCGCCUUGAAGGCACGGCUGUCUCCUGCGUCAGGUGGAAGCAAGGGAAGGGAAGAGCUGCUCUUUGGGGACAGUCUGGACCGGAAGUCGAGCUUGAAAGCAAAGGCUCUCGGAGCAUUGGUGCUCCUGAUGUUUGGAGGUGGGUGGAGGGAGCUUCCAGAGGACUGGAUGCAGAAAUGGGGAUGGAAUGAUUGUGAACUUGGGGAAACAGGCCCGGGCUUCUCUGAGCAGCAGCUGGGGUAUGUAAAGGCGGGACGGCCUCGACCCAGCCUCUGUGCACGAGACUGACGCCCAGUAGGGGACGGGCGGCCCUGGUAGGGUCCAGUUCCAGAGGCAGCGCUAGAGGGGCAGCACUCUGGCUUCCGGCCCUUCCUGGCUAGACCGACUCUCGGCCGUGUGCAGGGGAGGGCGGCAGCCCAGUGGGGACGUGUCUCGCGCCCAGGUGUCGGUGACAGACAGAAAGCUGGGCGAGGCCGUGCCUCUGUGGCCGGGCGUCUCCGUGUGCUGGGACCAUCUUUGGGACUUCGCGAAUGGGACAGUCCGAUUUUCCCCACAGCUCAGUUUGGGCAUCUGUUUGGGGGGAAGUGUGAUUAAAAAGAAAUCAUGUGCUGUGGUAGCCAGUAAAUCCCUCACCUGAGACCUGGUAAUUUUGGUGUGUUUCCUAUGCCUGUGAUCUUGGCUGCCUGCAGCAUCCUUACACCCAUAGGAUAAUGUUUUGCUUUUUAAACACCAGGGAUGUCUGGGUCUGGAAGAGCCCUCGGUCGUCCCCGCCCCCCGGCACUGUGGAGAGGGUGGUGUACGCAACUACAGUGGCUGGAGCUUGUCACCAAAAUCUCCCAGCCCGGAGAUGUCACAUGAAAUGGCUGGAGCCAGCCCACCGAGGGUUGCUCUUCCCGACGAGGCGGGCAGGGCUGGUGGUGGUGGGGGUCAUGGAGCGGUUAGGAACACUGUCGAGAACCAGGGCAGGAAGGGCGCAGGUGGCAUGUGGUAGGCAUGGGCCAGUUCUGAGAGCAGAGGGAGGCACCCCCCAGGGACUCCCAGGAACAACCAUGAGGAGCAUGGCAGGGGCUGGCAUCCCCGAGGAGCUGGACGGGGCAGGCCAGGGCAGUGGUGUCACCCCGUUCUUUCCCUGGGGUGGGGUUUCAUUGGGUGUAAAGCCAGUCCAGAGCCCUCUCAGCUGCUCUGACUCUUGCUAAUUAAAAAAAAAAAUCUUGAACAGUA
This is a non-coding RNA of Sus scrofa (pig), 5331 nucleotides long. The record is from RefSeq and is a predicted model, not a curated record. NCBI's taxonomy places the organism in Eukaryota, Metazoa, Chordata, Mammalia, Artiodactyla, Suidae.